ACUGCGAGUGAAGAGGGAAAAGCUCAAAUUUAAAAUCUGGCAGCUUCGCUGUCCGAGUUGUAAUUUAGAGAAGUGUUGCCCGCGCUGGACCGUGUACAAGUCUCCUGGAAUGGAGCGUCAUAGAGGGUGAGAAUCCCGUCUUUGACACGGACUACCAGUGCAUUGUGGUGCGCUCUCAAAGAGUCGCGUUGUUUGGGAAUGCAGCGCUAAAUGGGUGGUAAAUUCCAUCUAAAGCUAAAUAUUGGCGAGAGACCGAUAGCAAACAAGUACCGUGAGGGAAAGAUGAAAAGAACUUUGGAAAGAGAGUUAAACAGUACGUGAAAUUGCUGAAAGGGAAACGCUUAAAGUCCAGUCGCGUCUUCUGGGAAUCAGCCUUGCUUCUGCUUGGUGUACUUCCUAGUUGACGGGUCAGCAUCAGUUUUGACCGUUGGAUAAAGGCUGAGGGAAUGUGGCUCCCCCGGGAGUGUUAUAGCCCUUGGUUGUAUACAACGGUUGGGACUGAGGAACUCAGCACGCCGCAAGGCCGGGUCUCGUACCACGUUCGUGCUUAGGAUGCUGGCAUAAUGGCUUUAAUCGACCCGUCUUG
Molecule: ribosomal RNA, 586 nt
Filed under: Cryptomarasmius exustoides
Lineage: Eukaryota; Fungi; Basidiomycota; Agaricomycetes; Agaricales; Physalacriaceae
Description: LSU rRNA
Rfam family: Eukaryotic large subunit ribosomal RNA
Source: RNAcentral